GGUUGAGAUCCGAUGGUACUCAUAACACAUCAGAGGCCUAUGGAUAUCUUGUAUAUUGAUGAUGGAUUCAUCAAUCUGGGAACAAAUAGCAUACAAACUUUCAGGACUGGAAGAAGGAACUUGCAAUUGUCAUUCCUUGGGUUAAAACACUCUCAGAAACCAAACCUAUAUAUGAACAAAUGUAUCAGAAAUUUCCUACAGAAAUUUACAGGUAAAUACGGUGGGUGAUUGUUAUUUCGCACAUUCUUGGUUCCGUCCUUUCUAAUACAUAGAAUAGCUGCCAUUGAACAUGAACAUUUUCUACCUCUACACUCUUGUGCAAGACUUUCAUAGAGUCACUACAAUUACAGGACUAUGGAG
Molecule: long non-coding RNA, 360 nt
Filed under: Elaeis guineensis (African oil palm)
Lineage: Eukaryota; Viridiplantae; Streptophyta; Magnoliopsida; Arecales; Arecaceae
Description: long non-coding RNA (EGUI_LNC003367)
Source: RNAcentral